UACGUAGGGGGCAAGCGUUAUCCGGAUUUACUGGGUGUAAAGGGAGCGUAGACGGCGAUGCAAGUCUGAAGUGAAAGCCCGGGGCUCAACCCCGGGACUGCUUUGGAAACUGUAUGGCUAGAGUGCUGGAGAGGCAAGCGGAAUUCCUAGUGUAGCGGUGAAAUGCGUAGAUAUUAGGAAGAACACCAGUGGCGAAGGCGGCUUGCUGGACAGUAACUGACGUUGAGGCUCGAAAGCGUGGGGAGCAAACAGG
Molecule: ribosomal RNA, 253 nt
Filed under: uncultured bacterium
Lineage: Bacteria
Description: partial 16S ribosomal RNA
Rfam family: Bacterial small subunit ribosomal RNA
Source: RNAcentral